GGGUGUUUGGUCUAGUAGUAUGAUUCUUGCUUUGGGCGCGAGAGGUCGCGAGUUCGAUUUUUGCAACGCCCC
This is a non-coding RNA of Triticum aestivum (bread wheat), 72 nucleotides long. The record is from Rfam. Lineage: Eukaryota; Viridiplantae; Streptophyta; Magnoliopsida; Poales; Poaceae.